Molecule: long non-coding RNA, 389 nt
Filed under: Pan troglodytes (chimpanzee)
Lineage: Eukaryota; Metazoa; Chordata; Mammalia; Primates; Hominidae
Description: long non-coding RNA NONPTRT017833
Source: RNAcentral
GACAAAAGCAAGUGAAGGCAUUCAAACAAAUCAUUCAAAGUCGGAAACUGGGUUUGAUGGGACAUCUAUAGCAUGUAGAAAUAUUUAUGAAAAAUGGGGAAAGGCCUGCAGGGAGCACAGUGGGGCGAUUCCUUAUAAAAUCACUUGGAAGUGCUGGGGGCUUCUUCAUCAGCCCUAACCCUGCCAACCACUCCUGCCUCACUGAAUGUGCCAACGGAUUGCUCAGCUCCAACCAAGGAAAAGAAGAAGGAAGUUGGAUACUUUAUACCCUCUACAUUGUCCAUUAGCAACACAACCUAGAGCUAGGAUGGAGAAAGAAAAUGCCAAAAUGCUAAUGAAAAAUGUUCAGAUGUAUCACAUAUUAAGCAUACAUGAUCUCAAAUAUUUUG